AGAGUGAACGCUGGCGGCGUGCUUAACACGUGCAAGUCGAGCGAUUUUCAGCAGCUUAUCGCUGAGAGUAGCGGCAGACGGGUGAGUAAUACUUAGGCAAUCUGCCCUUGAGAGGAAAACAACCUGCUGAAAAGUGGGCUAAUGUUCCAUAUGACCACGGAGUCGCAUGAUUCUGAGGUAAAAGCUCCGCAAGGGGCGCUCGAGGAGGAGCCUGAGGCCUAUCAUGGUAGUUGGCGGGGUAAUGGCCCACCAAGCCUACGACGGGUAGCCGGCCUGAAAGGGUGAUCGGCCACACU
This 296-nucleotide ribosomal RNA is filed under the name uncultured soil bacterium. RNAcentral's name for it is "partial 16S ribosomal RNA". It matches the Rfam family "Bacterial small subunit ribosomal RNA", at positions 26 to 314 of the family's 1533-position model. The record is from RNAcentral.